GCAGUUAACGCAAUAAGUUCUCCGCCUGGGGAGUAUGCACGCAAGUGUGAAACUCAAAGGAAUUGACGGGGGCCCGCACAAGCGGUGGAGUAUGUGGUUUAAUUCGAAGCAACGCGAAGAACCUUACCAGGCCUUGACAUGGAUAUAAAUGUUCUAGAGAUAGAAAGAUAGCUAUAUAUCACACAGGUGGUGCAUGGUUGUCGUCAGCUCGUGUCGUGAGAUGUUGGGUUAAGUCCCGCAACGAGCGCAACCCUUGUCUUCUGUUACCAGCAUUAGGUUGGGGACUCAGGAGAGACUGCCGGUGACAAACCGGAGGAAGGUGGGGAUGACGUCAAAUCAUCAUGCCCCUUAUGGCCUGGGCUACACACGUACUACAAUGGCGCCUACAAAGAGCAGCGACACCGCGAGGUGGAGCGAAUCUCAUAAAGGGCGUCUCAGUUCGGAUUGAAGUCUGCAACUCGACUUCAUGAAGUCGGAAUCGCUAGCAAUCGCAGAUCAGCAUGCUGCGGUGAAUACGUUCUCGGGCCUUGUACUCACCGCCCGUC
Molecule: ribosomal RNA, 545 nt
Filed under: uncultured bacterium
Lineage: Bacteria
Description: bacterial SSU rRNA
Rfam family: Bacterial small subunit ribosomal RNA
Source: RNAcentral